GGGGAUAUAUCUCAGUUGGAAGAGUGCUUGCCUCACAUGCAUAAGGCCUUGGGUUCAAUUCCCAGUACCA
This 70-nucleotide transfer RNA is filed under the name Ictidomys tridecemlineatus (thirteen-lined ground squirrel). RNAcentral's name for it is "Spermophilus tridecemlineatus (thirteen-lined ground squirrel) tRNA". It matches the Rfam family "tRNA". From Rfam's summary of the family: Transfer RNA (tRNA) molecules are approximately 80 nucleotides in length. Their secondary structure includes four short double-helical elements and three loops (D, anti-codon, and T loops). The record is from Rfam by way of RNAcentral. Lineage: Eukaryota; Metazoa; Chordata; Mammalia; Rodentia; Sciuridae.